Molecule: ribosomal RNA, 223 nt
Filed under: Neisseria meningitidis
Lineage: Bacteria; Pseudomonadati; Pseudomonadota; Betaproteobacteria; Neisseriales; Neisseriaceae
Description: partial 23S ribosomal RNA
Rfam family: Bacterial large subunit ribosomal RNA
Source: RNAcentral
AACCUUUACUGUAGCUUUGCAUUGGACUUUGAAGUCACUUGUGUAGGAUAGGUGGGAGGCUUUGAAGCAGAGACGCCAGUCUCUGUGGAGCCGUCCUUGAAAUACCACCCUGGUGUCUUUGAGGUUCUAACCUAGACCCGUCAUCCGGGUCGGGGACCGUGCAUGGUAGGCAGUUUGACUGGGGCGGUCUCCUCCCAAAGCGUAACGGAGGAGUUCGAAGGUU